AGUGAACGCUGGCGGUAGGCCUAACACAUGCAAGUCGAACGGCAGCACAGUAAGAGCUUGCUCUUACGGGUGGCGAGUGGCGGACGGGUGAGGAAUACAUCGGAAUCUACUUUUUCGUGGGGGAUAACGUAGGGAAACUUACGCUAAUACCGCAUACGACCUACGGGUGAAAGCAGGGGAUCUUCGGACCUUGCGCGAUUGAAUGAGCCGAUGUCGGAUUAGCUAGUUGGCGGGGUAAAGGCCCACCAAGGCGACGAUCCGUAGCUGGUCUGAGAGGAUGGUCAGCCACACGGGAACUGAGACACGGUCCAGACUCCUACGGGAGGCAGCAGUGGGGAAUAUUGGACAAUGGGCGCAAGCCUGAUCCAGCCAUACCGCGUGGGUGAAGAAGGCCUUCGGGUUGUAAAGCCCCUUUGUUGGGAAAGAAAAGCAGCAGGUUAAUACCCCGCUGUUCUGACGGUACCCAAAGAAUAAGCACCGGCUAACUUCGUG
Molecule: ribosomal RNA, 492 nt
Filed under: uncultured bacterium
Lineage: Bacteria
Description: partial 16S ribosomal RNA
Rfam family: Bacterial small subunit ribosomal RNA
Source: RNAcentral